UAAGGUAGCAUAAUAUAUCGCUUCUUAAUUAGUGGCUUGUGAAUGGUUUAAUGAAAUAGAAUAUUUAAAUGAUGACUAUAUCUGAAAUUGAUUUAGUGGUGCGGAAUCCAUUGUUAUAAUAUAAGACGGAAAGACCCCGAGAUCUUGAAUUAAUUUUCUAAUUUUGUUUGGGGUAAAUGUAUAUAUUUCAUUUAUUUUUAGAUCCUACAUAUUGAUGGAUAUAGGUUAAAGUUACCUCGGGGAUAACUGAGUAAAGAGUUGUGAGAGGUCUUAUUGAUCAACUUGUUACUACCUCGAUGUUGGCUUAAAGAACCUUUAUGGUGUAGCAGCUAUAUAAGGUGGUCUGUUCGACCAUUAAAUCUUUAUGAGUUGAGUUAAGACCGGUGUAAGC
Molecule: ribosomal RNA, 391 nt
Filed under: Schistosoma japonicum
Lineage: Eukaryota; Metazoa; Platyhelminthes; Trematoda; Strigeidida; Schistosomatidae
Description: partial large subunit ribosomal RNA
Rfam family: Bacterial large subunit ribosomal RNA
Source: RNAcentral